GAGACACCUUUAAACUCCAGUGAGGAGAAAGAAAGCUACUUACCAACCAGGGUCAUUGUGUCAAUUCUGUCACUAGCUCAGUGCCGGCUCCUAGUAGAGGUCCUUAGUAAAUGGUGAGUAAAUUGAGUUGAACAAGGAAGCGGAGUAAUGACUCAUUAUCAGUCACCACCAGGCUCUGGAGUCUCUUCUUCCCCUUUGAUUGUCUUUUCUCCAGAUUUGUAUCUUUUACCACUAGUAUUAAUGAAAGCUUCUAGUAUUGCAGCUAAUGAAUUGUCCCUUAGCCUGCCCCUUUGAAGCCAACUCUCGGUUGACCCACCAGGAGCCAGUUCUUGUUAACUUGACUCUGAAUUUGUAUGUUGCCUUUCUAUCCUGUAGUAGAGGGCAAGGAAGUAGAUCCAGCAGGCAGAGACGAGAGAACAAGUCUUCUUCAGGGAUGCACAUGGACUCUGCACCUAGUAAAGUGGCUGUCUUGGCCCACUCAGGCAGACUGGGGAAUGUUUUCUAAACUCCAUGCCUUGCAGAGGGCCUUUGAGCUCUUAAGGACUGUGCAGAGAAACAGUGGGGCUCUUUAUAACUGUCAGAUGCAGCCCCAGUUAUAAAGAGGAGCAUGCAUACACAAGGGCA
This 624-nucleotide long non-coding RNA is filed under the name Bos taurus (domestic cattle). RNAcentral's name for it is "long non-coding RNA NONBTAT016093". Lineage: Eukaryota; Metazoa; Chordata; Mammalia; Artiodactyla; Bovidae. The record is from RNAcentral.